GUGGGGAAUCUUGCGCAAUGGGCGAAAGCCUGACGCAGCCAUGCCGCGUGAAUGAUGAAGGUCUUAGGAUUGUAAAAUUCUUUCACCGGGGACGAUAAUGACGGUACCCGGAGAAGAAGCCCCGGCUAACUUCGUGCCAGCAGCCGCGGUAAUACGAAGGGGGCUAGCGUUGCUCGGAAUUACUGGGCGUAAAGGGCGCGUAGGCGGACAGCUUAGUCAGAGGUGAAAGCCCAGGGCUCAACCUUGGAAUUGCCUUUGAUACUGGCUGUCUUGAUUGUGGGAGAGGUGAGUGGAACUCCGAGUGUAGAGGUGAAAUUCGUAGAUAUUCGGAAGAACACCAGUGGAGAAGGCGACUCACUGGCCCAAUACUGACGCUGAGGCGCGAAAGCGUGGGGAGCAAACAGGAUUAGAAACCCGAGUAGUCC
This 425-nucleotide ribosomal RNA is filed under the name uncultured bacterium. Its description in RNAcentral is "partial 16S ribosomal RNA". It matches the Rfam family "Bacterial small subunit ribosomal RNA", at positions 354 to 796 of the family's 1533-position model. The record is from RNAcentral.